This 482-nucleotide long non-coding RNA is filed under the name Linum usitatissimum (flax). RNAcentral describes it as "long non-coding RNA (LUSI_LNC002704)". Lineage: Eukaryota; Viridiplantae; Streptophyta; Magnoliopsida; Malpighiales; Linaceae. The record is from RNAcentral.
UUUACUUCAUGGAGUGAUAUUAUGUCUCAUUGGACUACAUAUAAGAUAGCCGAUUUCUCAACAUAUGUGUCUCGUCGGACAUUCAAUCAUACCAGGCUUUUAUGAGUACACACAUUCACUUCAAAAAUUGAUAUUUUUGUCCCUUGGACCUGCAAUAUCUGAUACUCGUGAAUAGGUAAUUCUUCACAGACUACAAUUUUGAAGUAUUCAUCAUACUUCAAUCGGAUCGUAAUUUAAGAAGAGUCGCCACUUGUGGUGGUCAUACACGUAUUUGCUCAUUUUGUUUCAACCAUUCAUAAAGGGGGUGGUAAAUAAGAUCAAAAUUAUGACUUUAUCUUGCGAAAAUGUUCCAAUACCAUUAAUUUCCAAUGCUCAUGAAGGGUAUGCUUACCUGAAAAGACAAGAGCUACAAACUCUAUUUUUCAAAAUUUGUUAACAUACUACAAAGAUAAAGAAAUUGAACUAAAUAAUAUUAUAUCCAC